RNAcentral lists this long non-coding RNA (4528 nucleotides) under Olea europaea subsp. europaea. Lineage: Eukaryota; Viridiplantae; Streptophyta; Magnoliopsida; Lamiales; Oleaceae. The record is from RNAcentral.
CAGGCAGUCUCUCUAACUUUUCACAAGAUUCAUCUCUCUGGUAUGUUUCACCGUAAUUAUAUGUGAUGCAUGCCUACUUGCAUAAAUGUAUUAAUGCAUUAAUGUAUUUUCGUUGUAAUGUUCUUUUUACAGGUUUUUUUUGACGGAAAUUUGUUUUUCGACCCGAUGUUUGUUGUUUUUAUUAAUAUCUAAUUCGAAUUUAUAAGAAAUGAGAUCUUUUUUCGAUAGGUUUGAGCUAAUAUUUAGCAGAUUUAGGGUCGUGUUAUUGUUUUGUGGAAUUUUUGUCAUGUUCUGAUUUGAUCUGAAGAUUUUUGCAUCUCAUUAUCACGAUUCAUAUACUUAUCCACCCUUUAUUGAAUUACUAGUUCGAGAAUGGAGAUUUUAAUUUUUUUCUAAUGUUUUUUCCUCUUAGAUCUAUUUGAUCUGGUGAAAUUUUAUACUGAAAAUGGUUUAUAAUGUUAUUAACUGUAAGUUUUAGGCAUUUUCCUCUUAUUUGUUUGCAACACUGUCAUUUUUUGUAUGUGUGAUUAAAUAUCAUGUAUGUAUUGUGGAAUGUGGAUUGAUUUCAUAAGAAAAUCAAAUGCCAAGGAAAGCAACAUGAUAUGACCUAUUGUUGUUUUGUGAAGAGUUGCUUGAUGUGAUGUAAUGUGUGUGUAUAGUUGAAUAUAUAACGCUAUUCAUCCACAAGCUAUACAUUUAAAUUCACAUGCAUCUACAUAGCUGAUUGGUGUGGUAUGCAGUUAAUGUCGAUCAUUGUAUGUGUACACCGUUGGGUGUUGAAGGAAAGAGGUUAUGAAAGAAUAGGAGAUUUUACUUAUGGAAUUUGAGAGUUUUACAAACUGAAUUCUCUUUUUUUCUUUUUUCUUUUUUUAAAUUUUUACAUUUUUCCCCUUUUUUUACACUUCUCAUAUCUCAUCAACAUUAGAUACAUACCUUUCCCUUAUAGAGAAAAUGAAAUAAUCUAAUUCUAAGAAUUUUCUACCAUUAUGACAAGAUACUAGUUGUAAUUUAUCCUCACUUGUAGCUGUAUGUGUUCUCUAGAUUGUUCAAAGCUGCUGAUUGCAGCUGAUUUUCAAUGUUCUAAUAUUCAAUUUGAGCAUAUAAAUUGAAUUGUAAAUCUUUUCCAUUUGACCCUUCCUUGAAUCUUCCAAAGUUAUUGAAGUGUUCUAAUUAAAUUUGAAUUCUUUGAAGAUUACAAAUUAAUUUAAAACUUUUAACACCCCUCUUAAUUUGUAAUCUUCAAUUGCUUCUUGAAUUUCUCGAACUUAUUAAUUGUCACUAAUUCAAAAAUUUUCGAUAGUAUUGCCUAUGCCUUCGUUGGGAAAAUAUCACUCAUUCUUCCAUUGGGGACAGGUGCACGAAUGACAACUCCAAUUGUCACACAUCCGCCGCCUACCUACCGUUUAGGUGAUGAGUCUAAAUAAUAGCGUUUACAAAAUCUAGAUAUAGACAAAAUUUACAAUUUCUCGAGAUGUGUUUAACGAAAGUACAACUUGUGAUUGGAAGAGCAAUCAAGUCAGAUUCCGGACCAUAUCAGUUUGGUGAUCCAUCGACAUCUCAAAAUUUUGACAUUGAGCAACAUUUAGCUCCAAAUAUUCCAACAAUUGAAGAAGAAUAAGAAACCUCUCCAAAAAAGACACGUUCACUAAGAGAAAUCUAUGAAUUACAUAAACUCAGAUUAUUCUCUUGUGAGCCUCAUCUUUGAAGAAGUUUUAAAAGAUAAAAGUUAGACAACGGUAGUGAAUGAAGAAAUUUCCACUAUCGAGAAAAACAAACCUUGAGCUCGUAGACUUUUCAAAAGAAAAGAAGACCAUUGGUCUUAAAUGGGUAUACAAAAUAAAAUACAACCAAGACAGAUCAAUUCAAAAAUAUAAAGUACAAAUUGUCGCCAAAGGAUAGUCUCAACACCCAGAAAUUGAUUUCACAGAAACAUUCACUCCAGUUGUAAGAAUAGAGACGAUCCAUACAAUUAUGGCUUUAGGGCCACAAGUGGAGCUCAAUGUUUUCCAGCUUGAUGUAAAAUCAGCAUUUCUAAACGUCUAAAUACAGAAGAAGUAUAUGUCGAGUAACAUGAAGGUUUUGUAGUCAAAGAAAAAGAAGAUAAAGUUUAUCAUCUUCAAAAGGCAUUAUAUAGCUUCAAACAGGUACCCCGAGCAUGGAAUAGCAAAAUCAACAGCUAUUUUCUUCAAAAUGGUUUCAAGCAAAGCACAAGUGAAUCAUCCCUCUAUGACCAUAUCGAUAGUGAUUGGUAGGAUUGGUUGAUGAUCGGAAAAGCACUUCUAGAUACAUCUUUUGCCUUGGAUAAAAUGUGAUUUCCUUUAGCUCAAUAAAGCAGAAAUUUGUUACUUUACCGUCGAUAGAAAUAGAGUACAUCGUCGCUAUAGAUUUAGCUUGUGAAGCAGUUUGGCUUAGAAGAAUUUUGAAAGAUUUAAAAUUUGAGCAGAAAGGACCACAACAAUUUAUUGCGAUAAAUGAACAAUUGCAAUGUAAAAAAAAAAAAAAAAAAUCAAUUUUCCAUGCUAGUUCAAAGCAUAUUGAAUUUUGACAUCACUUUAUAAAAGAUCUGGUAAAUCAAGAAGAAAUUUGCAUGAAAUUUAUAACUACCAACGAUCAACCGAUUGAGGUAAGUUGACAAAAUCAGUGACGAUUGAUAAGUUCGAGAAAUUCAAAAAUCAUUUGAAGAUUACAAAUUAAGAGGGAGUGGAGUGUUAAAAGUUCUAAAUUAGUUUGUAAUUUUCAAAGAAUUCAAAUCCAAUUAGAACUUUUCAACAAAUUUGAAACAUUCAAAGAAAGGUGAAAUAGAUAAGAUUUACAAUUCAAUUAUAUAUUGAAGCUGAAUAUUCAAAGAUGUAAGUUAGAAUUUUGAAAAACAACUACAGCUUUGAAUAUUUUGGAAAACACUUAUAGCUGUAAAUAAGGACGAAGACAGCUCCAAAUGAAGAAGAUAAAAUAUAGUUGUUAUCUUAUUGUAAUGAUAGAAAAUUCUUAGUCUCCAUUUUCUCUAUAAAAGGAAGGGAUGUAUUAGUUUGAUAAGAUAGGAGAAAUGUAAGAUAAUCUUCGUAAAAAAAGAAAAAAGAGAGAGAAUUGAGUGUGCUGUAGCAACUCACUUGUAAAACUUCCAAAUUUCAUAAUUAAAAUCUCCCUUUUUUCAUAAACUCUUUCUUUCAACACCCAACAAAUUUGGUAUUAGAGAAUAGGAAGAAAAUAAAAGUCAUAUCCAAUCAAAGACAAAACAAAAUCAACACUAGAGCCCCCUGGGCAUGGCGCAGUGGUAAAGCAGGAAGAUACUUUAUGGAGGUUCAAAUUUCUAAAGCAGCUAGAAAGCAACAUUUAUGUUGGAAGGUAGAUAUCUUGCGGAAACAAAUUCAUAGUGCACCUUGUCACCCCUUCGAGGUCCAUCUGCACGUCAUAAGGGGGGUCCAUAGUGAUGAGAACCACUUCUCGAAUAUUUGGUCCAAGUGUGUAUAAGCUGUGAACGCAUUCGAUUUACUUGAAUAGCAAAGCAAAGGAAAAGGUCAACACUCCUUAGAAUUAGUCAGGCGAAGUUCGGAUACCUGAGUCAUAAAAAUAAUAAUAAUAAUCAACACUAAAGACUUUCCUUCCUUCUAUAGAAAAAAUGGAGUAAUCUAGUUUUAAGAAUUUUCUACCAUUACAACAAGAUAAUAGCCGUAUUCUAUUCUCAUUUGCAACUGUGUUCUUUAUUUGGAGCUCCAGAAUGUUCGAGGCUAUUGCCUGGAGCUGAUUUUCAAAGUUCUAGCUUGCAUCUUUGAUUAUUCAACUUGAAUAUAUAAAUUGAAUUGUAAAUUUUAUCCAUAUGGCCUUUCUUUGUAUCUUCCUAAGUUGUUGAAGUAUUCUAAUUGGAUUUGAAUUCUUUGAAGAUUAUAAAUUAAUUUAAAACUUUUAACAUAUACAACAUAAUUCAUCAAAAAACUUCCAAAUAUAGAUUCACGGGUGUAUUUGUGUAACUUUGACAGGGGGCAAUGUUAUUUAUACAAUAAUGAUCGUGGUAGUGUGUCACAUGAUUCUUGGGAGGCCUGUAUAAUUGAUAUUCCCAUUGUUUAUCCAAAGAUGUUGGUAAUGGAUAAUUAGUGCUGACCAAAAGUGACUGAGGCAUAUAAAAUGGAUUAGAUCUCUAAUUAUUUCAUGGUAUUAUCAGAUUUUAAAUUAGACUAGACACAAUUUAAUGUUAUGAAUAUCUAGUUUUGCAAAUAAGUGGUGCAAAUAAUAUGCAUCCCACAGUUUCAUGGCACCUGUAUUAAUGUGGUGACCCGGUGGACUAUAAACAUAAUAACCAUGUGUAGCUGUAGCCCGUUGUUGUUCAUGUAAUGUUGAUUGGAUGCAAUAAUGUGCAGGGAUCAAAAGCAAGAAGGAAAAAUGGGGCUGACAUUCACAAAGCUGUUUAGCAGGCUUUUUGCUAAGAAGGAGAUGCGUAUUCUGAUGGUUGGUCUGGAUGCUGCUGGUAAGACCACCAUUCUGUACAAGCUCAAGCUUGGAGAGAUUGUCACUACCAUUCCUACAAUNNUUUUUU